GGAAGAGUGUCCGAGUGGUCGAAGGAGCGCGCUUGGAAGGCGCGUGUACGCCAGAAGCGUACCGAGGGUUCGAAUCCCUCCUCUUCCG
Molecule: transfer RNA, 88 nt
Filed under: Spirochaetota bacterium
Lineage: Bacteria; Pseudomonadati; Spirochaetota
Description: Spirochaetes bacterium (hot springs metagenome) tRNA-Ser
Rfam family: tRNA
About the family: Transfer RNA (tRNA) molecules are approximately 80 nucleotides in length. Their secondary structure includes four short double-helical elements and three loops (D, anti-codon, and T loops).
Source: RNAcentral